GAAAUCAAGUGAACACUAUUUCUAUUCAUUUUCUCUGCUCAACAACAAAAUCUUCCAAAUACUUUUGGAAUUCUUUCUUUCAUUAACUAGACAAUUUGGUGUCAGUCUUUCGGUUUCGAUGUGACACGUCAAAAUAUUGCGGUAAGGUCUAUAAUCUAUAAAUGAAGAACUAAAAUUUCAUUACUUUGUGUAUGAAAAUUCAAAACACGCGUUAGACAUACCUACAGUCAUAUUCUCAAUAUAAAUAAAUAAAUAAAGUAAAAUAUUGUUGGAUUAGAAUACUAUUAGUAGAAAGUUAAUAAUGUUCACCGUCACUUUUAUGGUCCCU
This 328-nucleotide long non-coding RNA is filed under the name Ananas comosus (pineapple). Its description in RNAcentral is "long non-coding RNA (ACOM_LNC005585)". Lineage: Eukaryota; Viridiplantae; Streptophyta; Magnoliopsida; Poales; Bromeliaceae. The record is from RNAcentral.